UCCUUAAUAAUCUAAUGAUGGUAGACUGUAAAUCUUCAUUACCCUUAUCCAG
RNAcentral lists this transfer RNA (52 nucleotides) under Phyxioschema suthepium. Its description in RNAcentral is "tRNA-Tyr". The record is from RNAcentral. Lineage: Eukaryota; Metazoa; Arthropoda; Arachnida; Araneae; Euagridae.